GACGAACGCUGGCGGCGUGCCUAAUACAUGCAAGUAGAACGCACAGUUUAUACCGUAGCUUGCUACACCAUAGACUGUGAGUUGCGAACGGGUGAGUAACGCGUAGGUAACCUGCCUGGUAGCGGGGGAUAACUAUUGGAAACGAUAGCUAAUACCGCAUAAUAUUAAUUAUUGCAUGAUAAUUAAUUGAAAGGUGCAAUUGCACCACUACCAGAUGGACCUGCGUUGUAUUAGCUAGUAGGUGAGGUAACGGCUCACCUAGGCGACGAUACAUAGCCGACCUGAGAGGGUGAUCGGCCAAACUGGGACUGGGACACGGCCCAGACUCCUACGGGAGGCAGCAGUAGGGAAUCUUCGGCAAUGGACGAAAGUCUGACCGAGCAACGCCGCGUGAGUGAAGAAGGUUUUCGGAUCGUAAAGCUCUGUUGUAAGAGAAGAACGGGUGUGAGAGUGGAAAGUUCACACUGUGACGGUAUCUUACCAGAAAGGGACGGCUAACUACGUG
This 505-nucleotide ribosomal RNA is filed under the name uncultured bacterium. Its description in RNAcentral is "partial 16S ribosomal RNA". It matches the Rfam family "Bacterial small subunit ribosomal RNA", at positions 28 to 507 of the family's 1533-position model. The record is from RNAcentral.